Non-coding RNA from Paramuricea clavata, 5734 nucleotides. The record is from the annotation of a GenBank genome assembly. Lineage: Eukaryota; Metazoa; Cnidaria; Anthozoa; Malacalcyonacea; Plexauridae.
AUUCACCUGAGUACACAACACCAACACAGAGAAAAAAAAAAUUCAUAUUACUAGAACAUAUUGGUAUUGAAGGAACUAGAUACUGUUCCGAAAUAUCACUUACUCGAACCGUCCUGACCGCGUAGCUCAGUUGGAAGAGCAUUGGGCUGGUAUUCCAAAGGUCGUAGGUUCGAAUCCCACCGUGGCCGGGCAUAUUUUUCAAGCUCGCCCGGUGUGGAUAUACACUCAGAGUAACACCACAAAUAUCAUAUUCACCUGAGUACACUACACCAACACAGAAAAAAAUUCAUAUUAAUAGAAUACAUUGGUAUCGAAGGAACUAGAUCCUGUUCCGAAAUAUCACUUACUCGAGCCGUCCUGACCGCGUAGCUCAGUUGGAAGAGCAUUGGGCUAGUAUUCCAAAGGUCGUAGGUUCGAAUCCCACCGUGGCCGGGCAUAUUUUUCAAGCUCGCCCGGUGUGGAUAUGCACUCAGAGUAACAUCGCAAACAUAUUAUUCACCUGAGUACACAACACCAACACAGAGAAAAAAAAAUUCAUAUUACUAGAAGAUAUUGGUAUUGAAGGAACCAGAUACUGUUCCGAAAUAUCACUUACUCGAACCGUCCUCACUGCAUAGCUCAGUUGGAAGAGCAUUGGGCUAGUAUUCCAAAGGUCGUAGGUUCGAAUCCUACCGUGGCCGGGCAUAUUUUUCAAGGUCGCCCGGUGUGGAUAUGCACUCAGAGUAACAGUGCAAACAUAUUAUUCACCUGAGUACACAACACCAACACAGAAAAAAAAAAUUCAUAUUACUAGAACAUAUUGGUAUUGAAGGAACUAGAUACUGUUCCGAAAUAUCACUUACUCGAACCGACCUGACCGCAUAGCUCAGUUGGAAGAGCAUUGGGCUAGUAUUCCAAAGAUCGUAGGUUCGAAUCCCACCGUGGCCGGGCAUAUUUUCAAGCUCGCCCGGUGUGGAUAUGCACUCAGAGUAACAUGGCAAACAUAUUAUUCACCUGAGUACACAACACCAACAAAGAGAAAAAAAAAAUUCAUAUUACUAGAAGAUAUUGGUAUUGAAGGAACCAGAUACUGUUCCGAAAUAUCACUUACUCGAACUGUCCUGACUGCGUAGCUCAGUUGGAAGAGCAUUGGGCUAGUAUUCCAAAGGUCGUAGGUUCGAAUCCUACCGUGGCCGGGCAUAUUUUUGAAGGUCGCCCGGUGUGGAUAUGCACUCAGAGUAACAUCGCAAACAUAUUAUUCACCUGAGUACAGAACACCAACACAGAAAAAAAAAAUUCAUAUUACCAGAACAUAUUGGUAUUGAAGGAACUAGAUACUGUUCCGAAAUAUCACUUACUCGAACCAUGCUGACCGCGUAGCUCAGUUGGAAGAGCAUUGGGCUAGUAUUCCAAAGGUCGUAGGUUCGAAUCCCACCGUGGCCGGGCAUAUUUUUCAAGCUCGCCCGGUGUUGAUAUGCACCCAGAGUAACAUCGCAAACAUAUUAUUCACCUGAGUAGACAACACCAACACAGGAAAAAAAAAUUCAUAUUAGUAGAACAUAUUGGUAUUGAAGGAACUAGAUACUGUUCCGAAAUAUCAUUUACUCGAACCGUCCUGACCGCGUAGCUCAGUUGGAAGAGCAUUGGGCCAGUAUUCCAAAGGUCGUAGGUUCGAAUCCUACCGUGGCCGGGCAUAUUUUUCAAGCUCGCCCGGUGUGGAUAUGCACUCAGAGUAACAUGGCAAACAUAUUAUUCACCUGAGUACACAACACCAACACAGAGAAAAAAAAAAUUCAUAUUACUAGAACAUAUUGGUAUUGAAGGAACCAGAUACUGUUCCGAAAUAUCACUUACUCGAACCGUCCUGACCGCGUAGCUCAGUUGGAAGAGCAUUGGGCUAGUAUUCCAAAGGUCGUAGGUUCGAAUCCCACCGUGGCCGGGCAUAUUUUUCAAGCUCGCCCGGUGUGGAUAUGCACUCAGAGUAACAUCGCAAACAUAUUAUUCACCUGAGUACACAACACCAACACAGAGAAGAAAAAAUUCAUAUUACUAGAACAUAUUGGUAUUGAAGGAACCAGAUACUGUUCCGAAAUAUCACUUACUCGAACCGUCCUCACCGCGUAGCUCAGUUCGAAGAGCAUUGGGCUAGUAUUCCAAAGGUCGUAGGUUCGAAUCCCACCGUGGCCGGGCAUAUUUUCAAGCUCACCCGGUGUGGAUAUGCACUCAGAGUAACAUGGCAAACAUAUUAUUGACCUGAGUACACAACACCAACACAGAGAAAAAAAAAAUUCAUAUUACUAGAAGAUAUUGGUAUUGAAGGAACCAGAUACUGUUCCGAAAUAUCACUUACUCGAACCGUCCUGACUGCGUAGCUCAGUUGGAAGAGCAUUGGGCUAGUAUUCCAAAGGUCGUAGGUUCGAAUCCUACCGUGGCCGGGCAUAUUUUUCAAGGUCGCCCGGUGUGGAUAUGCACUCAGAGUAACAGCGCAAACAUAUUAUUCACCUGAGUACACAACAGCAACACAGAAAAAAAAAAUUCAUAUUACUAGAACAUAUUGGUAUUGAAGGAACUAGACACUGUUCCGAAAUAUCACUUACUCGAACCGUCCUGACCGCAUAGCUCAGUUGGAAGAGCAUUGGGCUAGUAUUCCAAAGGUCGUAGGUUCGAAUCCUACCGUGGCCGGGCAUAUUUUUGAAGGUCGCCCGGUGUGGAUAUGCACUCAGAGUAACAUCGCAAACAUAUUAUUCACCUGAGUACAGAACACCAACACAGAAAAAAAAAUUCAUAUUAGUAGAACAUAUUGGUAUUGAAGGAACUAGAUACUGUUCCGAAAUAUCACUUACUCGAACCAUGCUGACCGCGUAGCUCAGUUGGAAGAGCAUUGCGCUAGUAUUCCAAAGGUCGUAGGUUCGAAUCCCACCGUGGCCUGGCAUAUUUUUCAAGCUCGCCCGGUGUGGAUAUGCACCCAGAGUAACAUCGCAAACAUAUUAUUCACCUGAGUAGACAACACCAACACAGGAAAAAAAAAUUCAUAUUACUAGAACAUAUUGGUAUUGAAGGAACCAGAUACUGUUCCGAAAUAUCACUUACUCAAACCGUCCUGACCGCGUAGCUCAGUUCGAAGAGCAUUGGGCUAGUAUUCCAAAGGUCGUAGGUUCGAAUCCCACCGUGGCCGGGCAUAUUUUUCAAGCUCGCCCGGUGUGGAUAUGCACUCAGAGUAACAUCGCAAACAUAUUAUUCACCUGAGUACACAACACCAACACAGAGAAAAAAAAUUCAUAUUACUAGAACAUAUUGGUAUUGAAGGAACUAGAUACUGUUCCGAAAUAUCACUUACUCGAACAGUCCUCACCGCGUAGCUCAGUUGGAAGAGCAUUGGGCUAGUAUUCCCAAGGUCGUAGGUUCGAAUCCCACCGUGGCCGGGCAUAUUUUUCAAGCUUGCCCGGUGUGGAUAUGCACUCAGAGUAACAUGGCAAAAAUAUUAUUCACCUGAGUACACAACACCAACACAGAGAAAAAAAAAAUUCAUAUUACUAGAACAUAUUGGUAUUGAAGGAACCAGAUACUGUUCCGAAAUAUCACUUACUCAAACCGUCCUGACCGCGUAGCUCAGUUGGAAGAGCAUUGGGCUAGUAUUCCAAAGGUCGUAGGUUCGAAUCCCACCGUGGCCGGGCAUAUUUUCAAGUUCGCCCGGUGUGGAUAUGCACUCAGAGUAACAUGGCAAACAUAUUAUUCACCUGAGUACACAACACCAACACCGAGAAAAAAAAAUUCAUAUUACUAGAACAUAUUGGUAUUGAAGGAACUAGAUACUGUUCCGAAAUAUCACUUACUUGAACCGUCCUGACUGCGUAGCUCAGUUGGAAGAGCAUUGGGCUAGUAUUCCAAAGGUAGUAGGUUCGAAUCCUACCGUGGCCGAGCAUGUUUUUCAAGCUCUCCCGGUGUGGAUAUGCACUCAGAUAACAUGGCAAACAUAUUAUUCACCUGAGUACAGAACACCAACACAGAGAAGAAAAAAAUUCAUAUUACUAGAACAUAUUGGUAUUGAAGGAACUAGAUACUGUGCCGAAAUAUCACUUACUCGAACCGUCCUGACCGCGUAGCUAAGUUGGAAGAGCAUUGGGCUAGUAUUCCAAAGGUCGUAGGUUCGAAUCCUACCGUGGCCGGGCAUAUUUUUCAAGCUCGCCCAGUGUGGAUAUGCACUCAGAGUAACAUCGCAAACAUAUUAUUCACCUGAGUACAGAACACCAACACAGAAAAAAAAAAUUCAUAUUACUAGAACAUAUUGGUAUUGAAGGAACUAGAUACUGUUCCGAAAUAUCACUUACUCGAACCAUGCUGACCGCGUAGCUCAGUUGGAAGAGCAUUGGGCUAGUAUUCCAAAGGUCGUAGGUUCGAAUCCCACCGUGGCCGGGCAUAUUUUUCAAGCUCGCCCGGUGUUGAUAUGCACCCAGAGUAACAUCGCAAACAUAUUAUUCACCUGAGUAGACAACACCAACACAGGAAAAAAAAAUUCAUAUUAGUAGAACAUAUUGGUAUUGAAGGAACUAGAUACUGUUCCGAAAUAUCAUUUACUCGAACCGUCCUGACCGCGUAGCUCAGUUGGAAGAGCAUUGGGCCAGUAUUCCAAAGGUCGUAGGUUCGAAUCCUACCGUGGCCGGGCAUAUUUUUCAAGCUCGCCCGGUGUGGAUAUGCACUCAGAGUAACAUCACAAACAUAUUAUUCACCUGAGUACACUACACCAACACAGAAAAAAUUCAUAUUACUAGAAAACAUUGGUAUUGAAGGAACUGGAUUCUGUUCCGAAAUAUCACUUACUCGAACCGUCCUGACCGCGUAGCUCAGUUGGAAGAGCAUUGGGCUAGUAUUCCAAAGGUCGUAGGUUCGAAUCCCACCGUGGCCGGGCAUAUUUUUCAAGCUCGCCCGGUGUGGAUAUGCACUCAGAGUAACAUCGCAAAAAUAUUAUUCACCUGAGUACACAACACCAACACAGAAAAAAAUUCAUAUUGCUAGAACACAUUGGUAUUGAAGGAACUAGAUACUGUUCCGAAAUAUCACUUACUCGAACCGUCCUGACCGCAUAGCUCAGUUGGAAGAGCAUUGGGCUAGUAUUCCAAAGAUCGUAGGUUCGAAUCCCACCGUGGCCGGGCAUAUUUUCAAGCUCGCCCGGUGGGGAUAUGCACUCAGAGUAACAUGGCAAACAUAUUAUUCACCUGAGUACACAACACCAACACAGAGAAAAAAAAAAUUCAUAUUACUAGAAGAUAUUGGUAUUGAAGGAACCAGAUACUGUUCAGAAAUAUCACUUACUCGAACCGUCCCGACUGCGUAGCUCAGUUGGAAGAGCAUUGGGCUAGUAUUCCAAAGGUCGUAGGUUCGAAUCCUACCGUGGCCGGGCAUAUUUUUCAAGCUCGCCCAGUGUGGAUAUGCACUCAGAGUAACAUCGCAAACAUAUUAUUCACCUGAGUACACAACACCAACACAGAAAAAAAAAAAUCAUAUUACUAGAACAUAGUGGUAUUGAAGGAACUAGAUACUGUUCCGAAAUAUCACUUACUCGAACCGUCCUGACCGCACAGCUCAGUUGGAAGAGCAUUGGGCUAGUAUUCCAAAGGUCGUAGGUUCGAAUCCCACCGUGGCCGGCCAUAUUUUUCAAGCUCGCCCGGUGUGGAUAUGCACUCAGAGUAACACCGCAAACAUAUUAUUCACCUGAGUACACAACACCAACACAGGAAAAAAAAUUCAUAUUACUAGA